ACGCUGGCGGCAGGCCUAACACAUGCAAGUCGAGCGGUAGCACAGGAGAGCUUGCUCUCUGGGUGACGAGCGGCGGACGGGUGAGUAAUGUCUGGGAAACUGCCUGAUGGAGGGGGAUAACUACUGGAAACGGUAGCUAAUACCGCAUGACCUCGCAAGAGCAAAGUGGGGGACCUUCGGGCCUCACGCCAUCGGAUGUGCCCAGAUGGGAUUAGCUAGUAGGUGGGGUAAUGGCUCACCUAGGCGACGAUCCCUAGCUGGUCUGAGAGGAUGACCAGCCACACUGGAACUGAGACACGGUCCAGACUCCUACGGGAGGCAGCAGUGGGGAAUAUUGCACAAUGGGCGCAAGCCUGAUGCAGCCAUGCCGCGUGUGUGAAGAAGGCCUUAGGGUUGUAAAGCACUUUCAGCGAGGAGGAAGGCGUUGUAGUUAAUAGCUGCAGCGAUUGACGUUACUCGCAGAAGAAGCACCGGCUAACUCCGUGCCAGCAGCCGCGGUAAUACGGAGGGUGCAAGCGUUAAUCGGAAUUACUGGGCGUAAAGCGCACGCAGGCGGUUUGUUAAGUCAGAUGUGAAAUCCCCGAGCUUAACUUGGGAACUGCAUUUGAAACUGGCAAGCUAGAGUCUUGUAGAGGGGGGUAGAAUUCCAGGUGUAGCGGUGAAAUGCGUAGAGAUCUGGAGGAAUACCGGUGGCGAAGGCGGCCCCCUGGACAAAGACUGACGCUCAGGUGCGAAAGCGUGGGGAGCAAAC
Molecule: ribosomal RNA, 751 nt
Filed under: uncultured bacterium
Lineage: Bacteria
Description: bacterial SSU rRNA
Rfam family: Bacterial small subunit ribosomal RNA
Source: RNAcentral